Molecule: long non-coding RNA, 231 nt
Filed under: Linum usitatissimum (flax)
Lineage: Eukaryota; Viridiplantae; Streptophyta; Magnoliopsida; Malpighiales; Linaceae
Description: long non-coding RNA (LUSI_LNC005129)
Source: RNAcentral
AAUAAUAAUGCAAACGGAGCUGGCGUGCCCUUUAUUUGACUGGUUUAAAAGUGCCAAAUCAGAUGCCACAAUGAAAUUAAAAAUGCGACGUUAUCCAUAUUUAUUCCUAAAAAUGAAAAUAAAUUAAGAUAUAAGAAAAAAAGAAAAAAAAUGUAGUUCCAGCUUCCUCUCUCUAGACAAUAAUGCCAACUCUUCCGCCGCCGUAAAGAUGCACCAUCGUCGACAACAAAC